GUGGCUUACUGGUCCAAAGUGCCUGUCUAGUAAACAGGAGAUCCUGGGUUCAAAUCCCAGCCA
Molecule: transfer RNA, 63 nt
Filed under: Pleuronectes platessa (European plaice)
Lineage: Eukaryota; Metazoa; Chordata; Actinopteri; Pleuronectiformes; Pleuronectidae
Description: tRNA-Thr
Rfam family: tRNA
About the family: Transfer RNA (tRNA) molecules are approximately 80 nucleotides in length.
Source: RNAcentral